RNAcentral lists this ribosomal RNA (377 nucleotides) under uncultured bacterium. RNAcentral's name for it is "bacterial SSU rRNA". It matches the Rfam family "Bacterial small subunit ribosomal RNA", at positions 28 to 404 of the family's 1533-position model. The record is from RNAcentral.
GACGAACGCUGGCGGCGUGCUUAACACAUGCAAGUCGAGCGGUAAGGCCCUUUCGGGGGGUACACGAGCGGCGAACGGGUGAGUAACACGUGGGUGACCUGCCCUCAGCUCUGGGAUAAGCCUGGGAAACCGGGUCUAAUACUGGAUAUGACUCCAUGACGCAUGUUGGUGGGGUGGAAAGCCUUGUGCGGCUGAGGAUGGGCCCGCGGCCUAUCAGCUUGUUGGUGGGGUGANGGCCUACCAAGGCGACGACGGGUAGCCGGCCUGAGAGGGCGACCGGCCACACUGGGACUGAGACACGGCCCAGACUCCUACGGGAGGCAGCAGUGGGGAAUCUUGCGCAAUGGGCGAAAGCCUGACGCAGCGACGCCGCGUGA